This 253-nucleotide ribosomal RNA is filed under the name uncultured bacterium. RNAcentral's name for it is "partial 16S ribosomal RNA". It matches the Rfam family "Bacterial small subunit ribosomal RNA", at positions 524 to 776 of the family's 1533-position model. RNAcentral also lists the same sequence under 2 other names. The record is from RNAcentral.
UACGGAGGGUGCGAGCGUUGUUCGGAAUUAUUGGGCGUAAAGCGCGUGUAGGCGGUUUUUUAAGUCUGAUGUGAAAGCCCUGGGCUCAACCCGGGAAGUGCAUUGGAAACUGGGAGACUUGAAUACGGGAGAGGGCAGUGGAAUUCCUGGUGUAGGAGUGAAAUCCGUAGAUAUCAGGAGGAACACCGGUGGCGAAGGCGGCUGCCUGGACCGAUAUUGACGCUGAGACGCGAAAGCGUGGGGAGCAAACAGG